GCUAAAUGCGUGACAGCUGGCGCGGGAAAACUGAGGGGGGAAGGGGUACUCGGAAUGUCUGGGCGUAAAGCGUGGGUAGGUGGGUCGUUAAGUCUGAUGUGAAAGCCCUGGGGUCAACCUGGGAAUUGCAUUGGGUACUGGCGGGCUAGAGUACGGUAGAGGGUGGCGGAAUUCCUGGUGUAGCAGUGAAAUGCGUAGAUAUCAGGAGGAACAUCCGUGGCGAAGGCGGCCACCUGGACCAGUACUGACACUGAGGCACGAAAGCGUGGGGAGCAAACAGGAUUAGAUACCCCUGUAGUC
RNAcentral lists this ribosomal RNA (300 nucleotides) under uncultured Lactobacillus sp. RNAcentral describes it as "bacterial SSU rRNA". It matches the Rfam family "Bacterial small subunit ribosomal RNA", at positions 496 to 795 of the family's 1533-position model. The record is from RNAcentral. Lineage: Bacteria; Bacillati; Bacillota; Bacilli; Lactobacillales; Lactobacillaceae.